Molecule: long non-coding RNA, 378 nt
Organism: Sinocyclocheilus rhinocerous
Lineage: Eukaryota; Metazoa; Chordata; Actinopteri; Cypriniformes; Cyprinidae
Exons: 4
Source: RefSeq, a predicted model, not a curated record
GGAAACGCAUGUGGUCACAAUCGUUUGCAUGCUGCGAUCAUCAGCUCGUUCUGUUGCAUGAAAAGCUCUUCGCAGCACCAUUGCAGAUUUUCACAAUCCCUUGGAUCUGGUGGCUCCCAAUGCCCCGACACAGUCUUUUAGGUUAGAAAGAAAGAAAAGGAAGCAUGUCUGGACCGCCGCCACCGCCCCCUCCCGGCCCUCCUCCAACCUUUGCACAGGCAAACACAGAGAAGCCAAAUCUGAACAGAUCUGAGCAGCACGGGAGAAAUGCUUUACUAUCAGAUAUCGGCAAAGGAGCUCGACUGAAGAAAACCGUCACCAAUGAUCGGAGCUGCCCAGUGCUGGACAAGCCCAAAGGAGGCGGAGGAGCUGGAGGAG